This 622-nucleotide ribosomal RNA is filed under the name Shigella sonnei. Its description in RNAcentral is "bacterial SSU rRNA". It matches the Rfam family "Bacterial small subunit ribosomal RNA", at positions 72 to 687 of the family's 1533-position model. Lineage: Bacteria; Pseudomonadati; Pseudomonadota; Gammaproteobacteria; Enterobacterales; Enterobacteriaceae. The record is from RNAcentral.
GAAACAGCUUGCUGUUUCGCUGACGAGUGGCGGACGGGUGAGUAAUGUCUGGGAAACUGCCUGAUGGAGGGGGAUAACUACUGGAAACGGUAGCUAAUACCGCAUAACGUCGCAAGACCAAAGAGGGGGACCUUCGGGCCUCUUGCCAUCGGAUGUGCCCAGAUGGGAUUAGCUAGUAGGUGGGGUAACGGCUCACCUAGGCGACGAUCCCUAGCUGGUCUGAGAGGAUGACCAGCCACACUGGAACUGAGACACGGUCCAGACUCCUACGGGAGGCAGCAGUGGGGAAUAUUGCACAAUGGGCGCAAGCCUGAUGCAGCCAUGCCGCGUGUAUGAAGAAGGCCUUCGGGUUGUAAAGUACUUUCAGCGGGGAGGAAGGGAGUAAAGUUAAUACCUUUGCUCAUUGACGUUACCCGCAGAAGAAGCACCGGCUAACUCCGUGCCAGCAGCCGCGGUAAUACGGAGGGUGCAAGCGUUAAUCGGAAUUACUGGGCGUAAAGCGCACGCAGGCGGUUUGUUAAGUCAGAUGUGAAAUCCCCGGGCUCAACCUGGGAACUGCAUCUGAUACUGGCAAGCUUGAGUCUCGUAGAGGGGGGUAGAAUUCCAGGUGUAGCGGUGAAAU